AGGUAUGAAUGCUCUAAAGUAGUAGGGUGUAAUGUCCUUUAAAGAGAGAUAUAGGUAUAUAGAUAAAGGCAACAGGAGUAUACCGCUGUUCAAAACUCAUAAAUCCAUGGACAAAAAACAAAAUCGGGGUAACAAACUAAAACUGAGGGAAACGCAUUAAAUAUAAGAGGAGAACAACGACACAGCAUUAAAAUGUAACACACACAGAAACGGACUAAGCAUUAGACAAAAUCCUAUGAGAAGAACAAAGAUAACAUCAAAACCAAAUACAUGAAUUUGGAAUAGAUAAGUACCGUGACACGUCUUUUAGUAAUGUGAAUUCACACUCAAAAAUAAGAGAAAACAA
This 346-nucleotide long non-coding RNA is filed under the name Mytilus galloprovincialis (Mediterranean mussel). Lineage: Eukaryota; Metazoa; Mollusca; Bivalvia; Mytilida; Mytilidae. The record is from RNAcentral.